UACGAAGGGGGCUAGCGUUGUUCGGAAUUACUGGGCGUAAAGCGCGCGCAGGCGGUUUUUCGAGUCAGUGGUGAAAGCCCGGAGCUCAACUCCGGAACUGCCAUUGAAACUGUAAAACUUGAGGACGAGAGAGGUGAGUGGAAUUCCCAGUGUAGAGGUGAAAUUCGUAGAUAUUGGGAAGAACACCGGUGGCGAAGGCGGCUCACUGGCUAGUAUCUGACGCUCAGGCGCGACAGCGUGGGGAUCAAACAGG
Molecule: ribosomal RNA, 253 nt
Filed under: uncultured bacterium
Lineage: Bacteria
Description: partial 16S ribosomal RNA
Rfam family: Bacterial small subunit ribosomal RNA
Source: RNAcentral